This 428-nucleotide ribosomal RNA is filed under the name Systelloderes sp. JD-2008. RNAcentral describes it as "partial 16S ribosomal RNA". The record is from RNAcentral. Lineage: Eukaryota; Metazoa; Arthropoda; Insecta; Hemiptera; Enicocephalidae.
GUCUUAAAGUUUUUAUUUUAAGUUUAAUCUGCCCAAUGAUGAAUUUAAUGGCUGCAGUAAUUUGACUGUACUAAGGUAGCAUAAUCAUUUGUUUUUUAAUUGAAAACUUGUAUGAAAGAUUUAAUGAAAAAUUUACUUUAUUAAAUUAAUUAUUAUAAAUUUAAUUUUUUAGUAAAAAAGCUAAAAUUUUUUUAUAGGACGAGAAGACCCUUUAAAACUUUAUAUUAUUAAUAGUAUUUUUUUUUUUAAAAAAUAAUUAUUAUUUAUAAUAUUUAAUUGGGGUGAUUAAUAAAUUUUAUUAACUUUAUUUUAUUAUAAUUCAUUAAUUUAUGUUUUUUUGAUCCAAUAAAUUGAUUAUAAGAUUAAGUUACUUAAGGGAUAACAGCGUAAUUUUUUCGGAGAGUUCUUAUCGAURAAAUAGUUUGCGA